This is a long non-coding RNA of Lycium barbarum (goji berry), 4108 nucleotides long. RefSeq lists it as uncharacterized. The transcript has 2 exons. The record is from RefSeq and is a predicted model, not a curated record. NCBI's taxonomy places the organism in Eukaryota, Viridiplantae, Streptophyta, Magnoliopsida, Solanales, Solanaceae.
UUACUUGUAUUGUAAUUUAUAUAGGUGUAUAUUUUUGGGAAUUAAUUAGGACAAAGAAGCAUAUUUUAAUUAAUUGAUAGAAGUAAAAAGGGAUUAGGAAAUAAUUCAUCUACCUAAAGAUAUUGGGCCAUCUCCCUUUAAACCAAAUCAGCAGCCCAAAAUAUCCCCAGCCCAAAAUCUCCUUGACCCGACCCAGCCCAAUAAACACUAAAUCCCCAAACUAAGUCUUCAACCCAUUUUCAUUCUAACUAAACUAAUCAAACCAGCCCCUUUCUCUCCCAAAAAUGAAACCUAGCCGUCACCACCCACCCCACCCCCCAUCACGUCACUUCCAUCGCUUCACCGCCACCACACCCUUAGGACCGCCGGUUAAAGCCAUCACCGACGCCGCUGCCACACAUGCACCACCUCAUCUAUCACCUUUUUCCCUACGUUUGAGAGCUGUCACAGCUCUGUUGAUGACUGCGAAAAGGAAAACUCGAAGAUCUGUCAGAUUGAAGAUUACUUUGCCUUAAAUUCAAUGGGUAAUAAAGGAAUCAGCCAUCAGAUCCAAAAACCAUUUAGGGAUCUCUAAAUUCGGAGCCCCAAUGAACCUCUAGAUUUCAAAUCAUCUCUGAAAAGUUCUCGGCUGAGCAAGGAUUGCUUGAAGCGGAUUCGGAGACUCGAUGACGACAUUAGCCUCAGUUCGCUAUCUCGAAGAAGGUAAUCACACUCUGUCUUUUCUUUGCCUUUAAUUUCAUAGAAGUAGAAAUGUAGUUGUUCAAGUAUCCAGUGUCGUUUGUUUAGUUCAGUGGACUGAAAUGCGAUCAGUCAAUAGUUGUGGUUGGUUGUUGAUUCUGUGGACCCAAACCUGUAUAUGGCCAUGUUUGUUCUAAAUUCUAGCCUAAAAAAUGGUUAAGGAAAUUGCCUACGCUUGAAGGGAUUACUAACUACUUUGUCGACUAUGUGUAGUGGUAUUCAUUUCAAAAUAUUGUGGGAUCAUGUUUCUGUUAGAGAGUCAACAUAUGGUCAUAUAAAUGGUAGAAUAUAGAUUUUGGAAGGUUGUUUGGCACACCAAUAAAAAAAAUAUAAGCAGCAGCGAUUCUUCAUCAAUGUUUAGGAUUGAGACUGUUUUAGAAAUCAGGUCUAAGUGGACUGCAUCUUUUGUCCAGAUUAGUAUCUUGCAUGUACUCAUGUCCAAAGCUAAUGAGUUGGUGUCUGAUUUUUCAGAAGUUAUGUGAUUAUGCCUUGUUCCUUUGUUAGAUACCUUAGCUGCACAUUAGAAGUUUAAGUGGCAGGACUAGCUAAUGUCUUACUCCAAAAAUUCAGAAACUUUUUUUUUCUGGCAAACUUUAUUUUUUAAGCCACUAAUAAAAAGGGGGGUUUGCGUUGGUAAGAUUUUGGGAAUGAAUUUAAUAAAGUAAACCGUUUUACUUCUCUCUUCUAUCCAUCCAUGAGAUUUGAAAAGAUGGCUUGAGUCCAAUGACUACUUUGCUUCUCCGAUAUACCCAUAAAUGGUUAAUAAUGAACUUGUAAAGUGUGCUAAAAUUAUUGAAGUGCAGGUUUUUUUUAAAGUUAUUUGAUCAAGUAUAUUAUUUUCAUAAGAAAAAAUGUUACUUUGACUUGGUCUUAUUGGUACAGAGUCUUCCCCCUGUAUGUUGCUCGCUUAAGUUGUAGCUUUAUUUUUUGGAGAAUUCUUUAUGUGUUGAGAUGAAGUGGUUGUUUUCAUGUAAAUUUUGCCAAAAAAAAAAAAAAUCAGUUUGAGCUAGCUCUAGAUGUUUGAAAAAAAAAAUUAAUAUUUUGAUUAGCCAAAAAAGUUACUUGUCUUGAUUAAUGGAAAAGUUAUUGGUUAGUGAAAAUUAAAUCCGUCGAACAUGUGAAUAGCUUCGUCGCUGGGCUAACUUUGCUGUUCUACGCAAUUGUCCUGUUGGGAUCCUUUUUCAUCAAAUCUUUACCAAAACAAAAGUGAUUUUAACGUUCAGUUAUUAAGUUACAAAUAUUUUGCCAUGGUUGUCUUCGCGCAAGCUUUCCAGCUUGCUGGUUACAAAUUAGUUGGAUAUAUUGAUCAUUUUCUUUAUAUGCACAUAAAGUUAAUGGGCUGUGUGUCCUAUGUGAGAUUCUUAACCAUGUAGUUCAAUUAAAUAACCAAGAUUAGGAAUAGUUUUGUUACUUCCAAAAUAAGAAAAUAAAGAAAAAAAAAUCUCACCAGAAAGUGGUCAACUACUUAAGGUUGGACGAAUGCAUGCCCUCAUGAUUGCUAAGUACACGGUUGGGCUUAACGGCCGCCUUUGUUUCUUCUAUGAUUAAUAACAUGUUCAGAUGUACAUUUGUCUAUCUUUUUCUAUUUUUAGAGGCAGUGUAAUUAUUAAGAAGCUCUGAGACCAAAAAAUGUUUUUUUUUCACAACCCCAAGAGUGAGAACACUAAGAAACCCGGCUAAGCCGUGAGUUUUGAGGAAGUGCUCGGUCAUGUUUAAUUUUUGGAAGUCGUUUCCGUUCGUCGGAAAUUGAUUCGAGUGAAAGGUAGUUCGUCGUCAACCCUCGUCGCCUCCGUCCUUCUCCCUUUCUCAUUUUUAUUUUCAUCUAGUUUUGAUUUUUUUUUUAAAUUCCAGUUCUGUUUCGAUAUAGUCUGUUAGUAUUUUCAUUUUCUGUUAUUAUUCUCUUUGUUUGGAAUUUAUAGUUUCAUUUUCUGCUUUGUUUAAUACCAGCAUGAUUAGUUGAGCGUUAAUUGUGUAAGUUCAGCAUAAGUUAGUCGAUUCGAUUUCGUAAUAUGAUUUGGCUUUAUUUUGGUUAGUAUGAGUGCUUUAGCACCAUUCUAGUACAAAUAUUGUGAAUUUGAGGCAUCCUUAUUACAGCUACUGUGUUUAAAGCUCGUAAAGAUGUCGCAGUUAAGCAUGUCUUUGAAGAAUUAGAUAAAAUGCUGUUUUAGUAAAUGAUAUUUGAUAAUGUUAGAGUCGUAAUUUCCAGCCAUGAGUAUGCAUUUGUUUUAAGUAUGCCUGCGUCUUCCAAUUAAGCAUUAUGGUUACCUGGAGUGUAUGGAUUUCUAAGAAAGAACAGUUCCGAGUUUCCUUUUGAAUAUCCUACAUAGUCAUUUGAAGUUGUUGUCUGAAUGAGAAUCAAGUUUAAUAGUUUUGAAGGAUUCCAAGUAAUCAUGUUGUCAAAAUCUCCUUGCUUUAGGUGUGAUAUAUGGGAUAAUGUGGUAACUGCCUUUAGAUUAAUAUAAGAGAACUAGUAUAAGUUCUCUAAUCUUAAAAUAUAUAAUGAGCAGGUUAAUAAUUUAGUUCAGCCUAAACACUUGAUUAAGAGGAGAUGGGAUUCCCAUAUUUCAAUUUCCAGAGAAAUUAUGGUUUUGUUUGGUGUGGUUGGCGUUUGAAUGAGCUCAUGUGUUUCCUGUUUCUAUUUAAUCUAGUGGCUUAAGGGAUCAAUUAGAUCUUUCUUUUAACUACGACUCAUCUCCAAGUAUCGAUCCUAUCCGAGUAAUGCAAUCUUAAUAUUGUUCGAACAUGUUCUUUCCUCUAAUUUGCUGUUGGAUGACAUUUUUGAAAUACCUUUGGUCUUUAAAACUUGGAAGGAUUAGUGGUAAGCUAAACUUCAUUUUGUUCUGACUUUAGUUGUAAUCUUUGAGAUUGUUAUAGAUCAAAAUUGCUGUAUGAAAAACCAUUGCUUAAAAUCUAGAACUUAAGGCUAGUAACACCUUGUCUUUUGGGAUGAAAUGGAAGAUAAACCAAUGCUGGUAGUUUCUCUUACUACUUGUUAUCCUUGGCUAACUGUCAUCCUAUUCUUUUGGAUUAGAAGACGUGUUUUGGAAUUAACUAGCUGUAUAUAUUGCAUUUCUUACUUGCUAUAUUUCUGUUAUUGAGACUGCUUCUAAUUCCUUUUCUUCCUUUCUUUUGCAUGAACGCACAUGGGACAAUAUUGGAGUUAUGGCAACUCCAAGUUCAGCCCGGAAUUAGGAGUAAACAGUAGCUGCGGUUUUGUUCGAGCUAGCAGUCCCAUUUCAUUCGUGUCUCGAGUCCAUAUCCCUUCUCCUUUCUUCAAAAUUAUUGUGUCUUUAUAUUAUACGCACAUGUUUGUUUACAACUCUUGACUAACGUUUUUGUGGUUUGUAUUUAUAAGCUUGUGUUUGUAGCC